This 2744-nucleotide long non-coding RNA is filed under the name Nicotiana benthamiana. Its description in RNAcentral is "long non-coding RNA (NBEN_LNC016230)". Lineage: Eukaryota; Viridiplantae; Streptophyta; Magnoliopsida; Solanales; Solanaceae. The record is from RNAcentral.
UUCAGUCCUUUUUUGCCUAAAUUUACACAUGUUGAAGCUCAAUUUUAAACCCACCAACCACCCAAAGGCCCAAUUUUGAGCUCACUUCUUCUUUUACAAGACUAUAAGAAAAAACCCUAGCCAUCUUCGUCUUCCUCGCCAAGACCUUUAACCUUAAGACAAGAACAACCAUGGAGGCUGCCAUAUCUUCUUCUUCUUGAACAAAGACUAGCGAGACCCUAGCGCCUAAAGAGCAUCCUUCAACGACCAACAGCUUCCACCGCCGCCCAUCUCCACAACCAUAGAAUGGUCUUCACCUCUGAACCCUUCAGCUGGAGCUUCUUCUUCACUCCUUGAACCAGACCCUCACACAAAACGAACCCCUCCCCGAGGUCGUUCUUCUUCAACAGAGGAACUUCUCAUCAUCCAUUAUCAAGGCCUAAGUAGCCAUCGCCGGAACACCUCUCCUCUUCAAAUCAACCAGCGACCAGACCCAAUCCAGCUCGCCGGAAAACACACACACAUACACCCGAAGAAGGAACGGACGAGAUUCUUUUUCUUAUUUUAAGUUCGGAUUCAAACCUUCUGAUUUUCAUGUCAAUUUCUAGCUUCUUCUUCUGAUUUCUGAUUUUAAAAAAGAAAACAUGGAACUCAAUCGAGUUUGAGUGAGCCGAUUCCUGUCAACGGUUCCGAUUUUUAAGUCCAAUUUCGGGUUUGAAUUUGGUUGUUGAGAUGGAGCUGGUUAAGUCGGUGUUCGGGUUCCGAUUCGCGUUUGUGCUAAUAUUUUUGGGGUUGAUACUCUUUUUUUUUUUGUUGAAUUUUGUUGCCCUUCAUUUGGACAAAACUGUAAGCCCGAAGUUUCUCUAAUCUGGAAGAAAUUUUUGCCAUUGAGUUGUGCGAUGGAGUUUGAUUGAGUUGGGCCGUUCCGAGCUGGUCAUAUCUGAACAUUUAUGUUGCUGCGUUUGUUUCUUUUAUGAUUUUCAGCCUUUGAGUGUGAGAGCAGAUUUAUGUGAGUAUGAUUGAACAUUCUGACCGAGUGCGAGUACGGAUGAGAUUUACAGUGCCGAUUUGAGUUUCAGUCCGCGGUUCGUUGCGUUUAUGCGUUUCAAGGCUGCCGUUCAUUUAUAUUUCAGAUUCAUUGAGGUCCAUUUCUAAACUCUGUUCUUGAUUGAUUAUAGUGCUCUUCUUCGUGCAUUUUGAUAAAAAAUAAAUCCCACUUGAUAUUUGAUUAUCUGGUUGUGUGUAUAUGGUAUAUUUUGUCUUGCAUUAGUAUGUUAAAUGUUUGUUGAUGUUUGAUUUCUUAAACAAGCAAAAGCGUCUUAGUAGAUUAAUGAUAUAUUGAAUUAAAUUUUAAUGAAAGUGGACAGUUAGGAAGUUAAAAGAAAGAUUUCAGUUGGGAAUUUGUCCAUUUGCUCGUUUUGAAUACCAUUUACCUCAUCGUACAAGUCGUGGUGGGAUUGAAUAUUGAAAAAUGGAAAGAAACUCAUAUCUUAUCUUGUUUAUUGCUUUAAUCGUUAGGAGCAUGUUGAGGUUCGCUAGCACUUGGGUAGGCAAGCUUUUGGACUUCUAUUAAUUUUGAGGCGAAAGAUCGUUCCCGUAGUUAAAUUCAUCCAGGGAAUGCCCCGAAGUAUUUGUAUAUAUUGUAAACAGGGGAAUGCCCCGAAGUAAAUGUAAAUGGAGGCCGUGGAAACAUCAAUGGGCAUAGUAUAGGCUAGCAAGCUUAUUUUAUUUUGCUUUACUUUUCUUUUAUUAGGUGGAGAUGACCUCGAGCCUUAUGUGUGUUUACUUUGUCUUUUUUUGUGAUUUUACCUCUAUUUUGAGUGUUUUAAAAGUCAACUAGAUCGAGUACGCAACGAUGAUUUUCACGGGACUUGGGGAGUGCCUAACACCUUCUCCCCGAGUCAAAUGAACCCCUUACCUGAAUCUUUGGUGCGGACUUAGUUUUGAGUCCAAGUGCUUUAAAAGGAAAAAUAAUUUCUAAAAACGGUGGCCUGGCACACCUUAAUCAAAUGCCAGGUGGCGACUCUGAGUUUAUUUACUUUCGAAAUAAAUUUUUGUCACUUUCCAAAUAGAAAGCCCUUUUCAAGCUUUUACUUAAAUCUUUUUAUUAAUUUAAGAGGGUUUAGUGAAAGUUUGAAUUUUUUAAAAAUGGGUGUGACAUCUCUGGCGACUCUGCUGGGGAGACUCGCGGGUUCGAGCUAGUACUCGAUUUUGUCUGCUUUAGAAUAUUUGGUUGAGUUUUUUUAUGUUUAUUUAUUUAGCUUUGCUCAAUUUUUAUUAUGUUUCGUAUUUUGUUACUUGCUAGUUGUUUAUGUGUUUACAAUUUUACUUUAUGUGUUUACUGCUUUAUAACUGUCAUCAUAUAUAUUACUCGGUCAAUUCUUUCUGCAACAAGUCUCGGAGCACGCACCGCCUGCACGAACUCUUCGUUGAGUCACCCUUAAUUUAGGACGGUGGCCGUCAGACGUAUGGAGUGGCUGUAAAGCUCGAGCAGCCACUAUCGACCAUACGCUCCCCCGAAUUGCCUUGUUAGUGAACCCCAAACUUAGGUCAGCCUUAGGUUAUUUUUAUUUGCAUCAUGUAAUUUACACCUAGUAGGGCUCGGUCCUAGGUACCGUGUCCAUUUGUAGGGAGCCUGUCCAAAUAUUGUCAAAAUGGGCCCAUGGCCCAAAAUGACAUUUAAUCAUCCUAUGUGCUAAAUGUUGCAUCUUUGAGGGUAAAACGGUUAUUUGGCGUACCAAUGUUUGGAAAGAAGGAUAAAAAUG